GAUGAAGAACGCAGCGAAAUGCGAUAAGUAAUGUGAAUUGCAGAAUUCAGUGAAUCAUCGAAUCUUUGAACGCACCUUGCACCCUUUGGCAUUCUGAAGGGUAUGCUCGUUUGAGUGUCAUUGUACUCUCACACUCCCGAUCUUUGCAUUGGGAGCAGUGGACUUGGGUUUGCUGCUUCACCGUCGCUUACCUCAAAUAGGUUAGUGCAGCUCUUGGUUGGACAUAGUACGGCGUGAUAAGUGUUCUUCGCCGGUGCCUCGCAAAGAGGGUGGCCGAUCGGGAUGUUGUGCUCCAAACCGUCUUCGGACAAUCUCUGACGACUUGACCUCAAAUCGAGUAAGACUACCCGCUGAACUUAAGCAUAUCAAUAAGCGGAGGA
This 380-nucleotide unclassified non-coding RNA is filed under the name soil metagenome. Its description in RNAcentral is "partial contains 5.8S ribosomal RNA, internal transcribed spacer 2, and large subunit ribosomal RNA". The stretch from base 1 to 120 matches the Rfam family "5.8S ribosomal RNA", at positions 35 to 154 of the family's 154-position model. The record is from RNAcentral.